RNAcentral lists this ribosomal RNA (1447 nucleotides) under uncultured organism. RNAcentral describes it as "16S ribosomal RNA". It matches the Rfam family "Bacterial small subunit ribosomal RNA". The record is from RNAcentral.
GAACGCUAGCUACAGGCUUAACACAUGCAAGUCGACCUUCAGCAUUUUAGUUUGCUUGCAAACUGAAGAUGGCGACCGGCGCACGGGUGAGUAACACGUAUCCAACCUGCCGAUAACUCCGGAAUAGCCUUUCGAAAGAAAGAUUAAUACCGGAUAGCAUACGAAUAUCGCAUGAUAUUUUUAUUAAAGAAUUUCGGUUAUCGAUGGGGAUGCGUUCCAUUAGUUUGUUGGCGGGGUAACGGCCCACCAAGACAACGAUGGAUAGGGGUUCUGAGAGGAAGGUCCCCCACAUUGGAACUGAGACACGGUCCAAACUCCUACGGGAGGCAGCAGUGAGGAAUAUUGGUCAAUGGGCGAGAGCCUGAACCAGCUAAGUAGCGUGAAGGAUGAAGGCUCUAUGGGUCGUAAACUUCUUUUAUAUGGGAAUAAAGUUUUCCACGUGUGGAAUUUUGUAUGUACCAUAUGAAUAAGGAUCGGCUAACUCCGUGCCAGCAGCCGCGGUAAUACGGAGGAUCCGAGCGUUAUCCGGAUUUAUUGGGUUUAAAGGGAGCGUAGGUGGAUUGUUAAGUCAGUUGUGAAAGUUUGCGGCUCAACCGUAAAAUUGCAGUUGAAACUGGCAGUCUUGAGUACAGUAGAGGUGGGCGGAAUUCGUGGUGUAGCGGUGAAAUGCUUAGAUAUCACGAAGAACUCCGAUUGCGAAGGCAGCUCACUAGACUGUCACUGACACUGAUGCUCGAAAGUGUGGGUAUCAAACAGGAUUAGAUACCCUGGUAGUCCACACAGUAAACGAUGAAUACUCGCUGUUUGCGAUAUACAGUAAGCGGCCAAGCGAAAGCAUUAAGUAUUCCACCUGGGGAGUACGCCGGCAACGGUGAAACUCAAAGGAAUUGACGGGGGCCCGCACAAGCGGAGGAACAUGUGGUUUAAUUCGAUGAUACGCGAGGAACCUUGCCCGGGCUUAAAUUGCAACAGAAUAUAUUGGAAACAGUAUAGCCGUAAGGCUGUUGUGAAGGUGCUGCAUGGUUGUCGUCAGCUCGUGCCGUGAGGUGUCGGCUUAAGUGCCAUAACGAGCGCAACCCUUAUCUUUAGUUACUAACAGGUGAUGCUGAGGACUCUAGAGAGACUGCCGUCGUAAGAUGUGAGGAAGGUGGGGAUGACGUCAAAUCAGCACGGCCCUUACGUCCGGGGCUACACACGUGUUACAAUGGGGGGUACAGAAGGCGGCUACCUGGUGACAGGAUGCUAAUCCCAAAAACCUCUCUCAGUUCGGAUCGAAGUCUGCAACCCGACUUCGUGAAGCUGGAUUCGCUAGUAAUCGCGCAUCAGCCAUGGCGCGGUGAAUACGUUCCCGGGCCUUGUACACACCGCCCGUCAAGCCAUGAAAGCCGGGGGUACCUGAAGUACGUAACCGCAAGGAGCGUCCUAGGGUAAAACUGGUAAUUGGGGC